RNAcentral lists this ribosomal RNA (350 nucleotides) under uncultured Burkholderia sp. RNAcentral's name for it is "bacterial SSU rRNA". It matches the Rfam family "Bacterial small subunit ribosomal RNA", at positions 149 to 494 of the family's 1533-position model. Lineage: Bacteria; Pseudomonadati; Pseudomonadota; Betaproteobacteria; Burkholderiales; Burkholderiaceae. The record is from RNAcentral.
CGGCGAAAGCCGGAUUAAUACCGCAUACGAUCUAUGGAUGAAAGCGGGGGACCUUCGGGCCUCGCGCUAUAGGGUUGGCCGAUGGCUGAUUAGCUAGUUGGUGGGGUAAAGGCCUACCAAGGCGACGAUCAGUAGCUGGUCUGAGAGGACGACCAGCCACACUGGGACUGAGACACGGCCCAGACUCCUACGGGAGGCAGCAGUGGGGAAUUUUGGACAAUGGGCGAAAGCCUGAUCCAGCAAUGCCGCGUGUGUGAAGAAGGCCUUCGGGUUGUAAAGCACUUUUGUCCGGAAAGAAAUCCUUGGCUCUAAUACAGUCGGGGGAUGACGGUACCGGAAGAAUAAGCACC